AUAAUAGAAAGUUCGAGGUUGGAAAAUGCACCGCUGCUGCCCUCGGCGGCCAUCUUGCAUCCACAAUGCAAGCAGUCACUACACCAGCACACAAAUUACAAUCAAAUUCACUCACAUCGAAUUACAGCAAUAUUACACAUCAGUUGCACUGAUAGUAAACUUGACACUGACAUUUUACCAACCGGCGCACGGAUUGAUGUAGGUACUCGUAGUGUAUAAUGUGUUGUCUACUCAUCAACACAACUUGAAUGAUCAGUGCGGGUUGAUGGUGUGGUCGUGUGGCGGACGUGGACCUGUAGACGCGAACGCGGACGCGACUGCGACUCAACUGCGGCGCUGCGACGUCGGGCGGCUUGCACAAAAUGCACUCGAGAUGGUGUGAGUUGGGUGGCGGUGCAUGUGUAUGUGCAAUGUCAGUGUAAUGCAUAUUGCCAAUGCCAACAAAGCCAACCAACAAGCAAUAAGUGAGGUGAGAAACAUUUUGUCCUUGACGAGACCUAGGUUUAGGCAUGUUUGAUUGCGCGCCGACGGCGUCUGGAGCACCGUCUAGACUGCGGGCGGGUUGGAAAGGAAAAGGAAGAGGAAGAUGCGCGCCCCUGAUCAAUACGCCGCUCGACGCGCACACAUACCCACUGGUAUCACAAGAGCAAGCGAGCGCAAAGAAGGAAGAAGCGGGACGUGCGCGUUGCACACCCGAGUGUCGCAGGUCAUUGCCACCGCACCACGGAGAGCCCCAACUGGAGAAACUCAGCGCGUACUCCCGACCGGUUCGCACACACACACGCACACACAGCAACACACAAUCAUACAAUAAGGGUAGGUAAGCAACCAAACAACCAUCAAAAGAAUAAAGAAAGAAGCAUUCUUAUUUGGUUGAGCAUAUUUUUCAAACGCGCCAAGAUUUUUAUGUUAUGACGUAACUGGUCCGUCGAGAUGCAACUGUGACGUUGGUAUAAAUUAUAUUAGGGUGCAAAUCAGGGUGCAUGUUAUACAAGGGGUUUGUUCAAAGGGGCGGAGUGUAAAAAUGGCGGACACAAAGCGCGAUUUUCAUUUUUGCGUCUGGUGCGAUUUUUACCCGAGGUGGAAACAGGUAAAUUUUUCCGAAUUGUGGAUGGAUUUAGAGGGUAUUCAAUUGGCAUGGAGGGCUAGCCGGGUGGAAAAUGAGAUUUAUGCGAUACUCGGUGGGAAUAACGAACGAAAUUAACGGAAAUUUCUGAUUUUUAUUCAGUUACUUACGUUUUUUUCAGUUUAAAUCCGUUUGGUUAUCACAAAUCCGCUGUACGCAUGGUUGUCACGCUGUCAAACAUUCACACGCACACACUGAUAAGUUUUUUAGCUCAAAAAGUCACAAUAACCAAUUUUUUUCAUUGAAAAACCAAGAAAUUUACACUUUUUUGAGUUUAUUUUAUGUUUUUUAUUGUUUUUAUUAAUUUUAUUGAGUUUUCCAGGUGUUAUUCACUUGGAAAAUGUUUUUGCGUGCUUUUGGAACUUUGUUUCGGUGGUUUUUGUUUAUAAAACGUGUAAAAAAUCAAGAUGAGUGCGCGAGUUCGCGAAAAAAUUGGCACACACAAUGUCGGUGACAAAAAUAUAACGUUUUGCUAACGCGGGCGACAUCUAUACACCAUAACCUUUACUUAUAUUACUCAUAUAUAAUCGUGUAUUGUGCUUUUACUGUAUGCAACCCAAUAUACACCAAUGUUAUGUCAGUGGUG
Long non-coding RNA from Dalotia coriaria, 1712 nucleotides. RefSeq lists it as uncharacterized. The transcript has 4 exons. NCBI's taxonomy places the organism in Eukaryota, Metazoa, Arthropoda, Insecta, Coleoptera, Staphylinidae. The record is from RefSeq and is a predicted model, not a curated record.